UAAGAUACUUACAAUGAAUAA
This 21-nucleotide non-coding RNA is filed under the name Caenorhabditis elegans. Lineage: Eukaryota; Metazoa; Nematoda; Chromadorea; Rhabditida; Rhabditidae. The record is from RNAcentral.